Molecule: long non-coding RNA, 431 nt
Filed under: Manihot esculenta (cassava)
Lineage: Eukaryota; Viridiplantae; Streptophyta; Magnoliopsida; Malpighiales; Euphorbiaceae
Description: long non-coding RNA (MESC_LNC006778)
Source: RNAcentral
UGAAUUUCAGAUUUUGUGAUGAAUUGGGAGAUUUAAAUCUCCAUUGUUAAACUCUUAUUUACUUUCAAUAUUUAUGCAAUUUGAGCUUUCCAUAAUUAUUACUUUGCUUUUAGAAUCAAUAAGGGCCCAUUGCUUUUAAAUUGCUUAAGUAAUAUUGUUUGAAUGAUUUAGGUCCGUAAUUGCUUAGGUUGUUCAAAUACACAUUUAAUCAAAUUGCAUAAUCUAAACUUGACCAUGCGGUUGGCAAGGAUAGAAUUGGAUUUCUCUAAGUCUUAAUGCAGUCAGCAGUUGUUCAAUGCUACAAUGCCCCAAGGACGUUCCUUGGCAACUUGUUGAUUAGUGUUUGAUUAGCGAACGUUUCCUAAUCAAACUAGAACUAAGGAGGAAUUUGGUUGUGAGAAGCGUCUUCCAUAACCAAAACCAAUUUAUUG